Molecule: microRNA precursor, 102 nt
Filed under: Marmota monax (woodchuck)
Lineage: Eukaryota; Metazoa; Chordata; Mammalia; Rodentia; Sciuridae
Source: RNAcentral
CAUAGGGUUGCUGGAUCAUAUGGUAAGAGUAUGCUUAGUUUUGUGGAAACCUCCAAAUUGUCUUCCAGAGCAGUUGUACCAUUUUGCCUUCUGAUCAGCAAC